This 393-nucleotide unclassified non-coding RNA is filed under the name Hevea brasiliensis (rubber tree). The record is from RNAcentral. Lineage: Eukaryota; Viridiplantae; Streptophyta; Magnoliopsida; Malpighiales; Euphorbiaceae.
ACGACUUCUCACUACUGUCAUGUGAGCCCUUUGCUCCAGUAAAUCUCUGUGGUAUGCCUGUAUCACGAAAUUUCGCCUCUCACAAUCCAAAAACAUGUUGACGUUCCAGCUAACUUUUGCCAUCAAUUUGUCCCUGACAGUGGAAAAGCUCAGUUGGUCCCUAGAGGUAAAACGGUCAACUUCAUUGAACCACAGACAGGUGAACAGAUUUGUGAUGGGAAUAUGCUCCUUUAUAAUAACACAUCCUUCGGGAACAUCACUGGUAAUAGGAAGCUUAGCCUCUGAAUAUGCAGUUAAACCUUCUUUCUUGUAGAAAUCAAUUUGGUGGUCGAUGGAUACAUUAUCAUACUUCCCUGCAGCUUUAUUAGCUUCAGCUUCUUCAAAGACGUCAAA